UACGUAGGGAGCAAGCGUUGUCCGGAAUCAUUGGGCGUAAAGCGCGCGUAGGUGGCCUCAUAAGUCCGUUGUGAAAGUCAAAGGCUCAACCUUUGAAAGCCGAUGGAUACUGUGAGACUAGAGUACGGAAGAGGCGAGUGGAAUUCCUGGUGUAGCGGUGGAAUGCGCAGAUAUCAGGAGGAACACCAAUAGCGAAGGCAGCUCGCUGGGACGUUACUGACACUGAGGCGCGAAAGCGUGGGGGAGCGAACAGG
Molecule: ribosomal RNA, 254 nt
Filed under: uncultured bacterium
Lineage: Bacteria
Description: partial 16S ribosomal RNA
Rfam family: Bacterial small subunit ribosomal RNA
Source: RNAcentral